AGCCUGAGAAACGGCUACCACAUCCAAGGAAGGCAGCAGGCGCGCAAAUUACCCACUCCCAGUUCAGGGGAGGUAGUGACGAAAAAUAACGAUGCUAAACUCAUACGAGGCUUAGCAAUCGGAAUGAGUACACUUUAAAUCCUUUAACAAGGAUCUAUUGGAGGGCAAGUCUGGUGCCAGCAGCCGCGGUAAUUCCAGCUCCAAUAGCGUAUCACGGUUUUGUUGUGGUUAAAAAGCUCGUAGUUGGAUCUCGGUUUCGGGAGUGUGGUGCGCCUUGCGGCGUUUACUGCACACCCGGACGAUUUUGUCGGUUCGUUCCUGGUGCUCUUAACCGGGUGCCUGGAGUGGCCGGCACGUUUACUUUGAAAAAAUUGGAGUGCUCAAGGCAGGCGCUACAGCCUGAACAUUUGUGCAUGGAAUAAUGGAAUAGGAUCUCGGUUCUAUUUCGUUGGCUUUCGGAGUCGAGGUAAUGAUUAAUAGGGACAGACGGGGGCAUUCGUACUGCGACGUUAGAGGUGAAAUUCUUGGAUCGUCGCAAGACGAACUACUGCGAAAGCAUUUGCCAAGAAUGUUUUCAUUAAUCAAGAACGAAAGUUAGAGGUUCGAAGGCGAUCAGAUACCGCCCUAGUUCUAACCAUAAACGAUGUCAACUGGCGAUCCGGCUCCGUUAACUAAUGACUAGCCGGGCAGUCUCCGGGAAACCAAAGCCGGGUUCCAGGGGAAGUAUGGUUGCAAAGCUGAAACUUAAAGGAAUUGACGGAAGGGCACCACCAGGAGUGGAGCCUGCGGCUUAAUUUGACUCAACACGGGAAAACUCACCAGGCCCGGACACCGGAAGGAUUGACAGAUUGAGAGCUCUUUCUUGAUUCGGUGGGUGGUGGUGCAUGGCCGUUCUUAGUUGGUGGAGUGAUUUGUCUGGUUAAUUCCGAUAACGAACGAGACUCUGGCCUACUAACUAGACGUUGGGUCCCUUGUGGGCCCAUCGCAGCUUCUUAGAGGGACGGGCAGCGUUUAGCUGCACGAGAAUGAGCAAUAACAGGUCUGUGAUGCCCUUAGAUGUUCUGGGCCGCACGCGCGCUACACUGAAGGUAUCAGCAUGUGUUCCCUCUCUGAAAGGAGCGGGAAACCCUCUGAACCACCUUCGUGAUGGGGAUUGGGGAUUGCAAUUAUUCCCCAUGAACGAGGAAUUCCUAGUAGGCGUGAGUCAUCAGCUUGCGUCGAUUACGUCCCUGCCCUUUGUACACACCGCCCGUCGCUACUACCGAUCGAGUGAUUUAGUGAGGCCUUUGGACUGGUCUUCGACAUGGCUUUCGGGUCGUGCCGU
RNAcentral lists this ribosomal RNA (1324 nucleotides) under Seira sp. 1 FZ-2013. Its description in RNAcentral is "SSU rRNA". It matches the Rfam family "Eukaryotic small subunit ribosomal RNA", at positions 393 to 1739 of the family's 1831-position model. Lineage: Eukaryota; Metazoa; Arthropoda; Collembola; Entomobryomorpha; Entomobryidae. The record is from RNAcentral.